Molecule: non-coding RNA, 120 nt
Organism: Gossypium hirsutum (cotton)
Lineage: Eukaryota; Viridiplantae; Streptophyta; Magnoliopsida; Malvales; Malvaceae
Source: Rfam
UGUUAAAAAUUUAAUCUAAUUUUACAAUUAAAAACUGGCGUGGUUGACAAAAUAACCAGAUAGUUACGCGUAGUGUUCCAUGUCAGUUUUUAACAGUAAAAAUAGAUGAAAUUUUUAAUA